UACGUAGGGGGCAAGCGUUGUCCGGAUUUACUGGGUGUAAAGGGUGCUCAGGUGGCUUGGAAAGUCAGUGGUGAAAUCUGAGAGCUUAACUCUCAAACUGCCAUUGAUACUUCUUAGCUUGAGUACGGAAGAGGCUGAUGGAAUUUCAGGUGUAGCAGUGAAAUGCGUAGAUAUCUGAAAGAACACCAGUGGCGAAGGCGGUCAGCUGGUCCGUUACUGACACUAAAGCACGAAAGCGUGGGUAGCAAACCGG
This 253-nucleotide ribosomal RNA is filed under the name uncultured bacterium. RNAcentral's name for it is "partial 16S ribosomal RNA". It matches the Rfam family "Bacterial small subunit ribosomal RNA", at positions 524 to 776 of the family's 1533-position model. The record is from RNAcentral.